RNAcentral lists this ribosomal RNA (253 nucleotides) under uncultured bacterium. RNAcentral's name for it is "partial 16S ribosomal RNA". It matches the Rfam family "Bacterial small subunit ribosomal RNA", at positions 524 to 776 of the family's 1533-position model. The record is from RNAcentral.
UACGGAGGGUGCAAGCGUUAUCCGGAUUCACUGGGUUUAAAGGGAGCGCAGGCGGAUUAGUAAGUCAGUGGUGAAAGCCUUAAGCUUAACUUGGGAACUGCCAUUGAUACUAUUAGUCUUGAAUGUUGUUGAGGUUUGCGGAAUGGGUCAUGUAGCGGUGAAAUGCAUAGAUACCAUAAAGAACACCGAUUGCGAAGGCAGCUCACUAAGCUUUAACUGACGCUGAGGCACGAAAGCGUGGGGAUCAAACAGG